GGAUCCUCCUCUACUCUUCAAAGACAUUGGUCCCUCUGUUGAUGCAAGUUCACAUCAGCAGAGAGGAAAGUCUCCUGAACCCAGAUGUUUGCCCAUGAAGAGUGAUCAUUCUAUGGGUCGUCUGGAUAACUUCAAAGAUGAUCAGUCUAAUGAUCGAUGGUUUAACUUCAAAGAUGGACGCCGUUCUUAUGACCCAGAAGAGGACCAGGAGAGCUCAGAGGUUCCCACAGGUCCGUCUGCCCAGCAGCAUCAAAC
Non-coding RNA from Gasterosteus aculeatus aculeatus (three-spined stickleback), 255 nucleotides. The record is from RefSeq and is a predicted model, not a curated record. NCBI's taxonomy places the organism in Eukaryota, Metazoa, Chordata, Actinopteri, Perciformes, Gasterosteidae.